CUUGGUCAUUUAGAGGAAGUAAAAGUCGUAACAAGGUCUCCGUUGGUGAACCAGCGGAGGGAUCAUUACCGAGUUUACAACUCCCAAACCCCUGUGAACAUACCUUAAUGUUGCCUCGGCGGAUCAGCCCGCGCCCCGUAAAACGGGACGGCCCGCCAGAGGACCCAAACUCUAAUGUUUCUUAUUGUAACUUCUGAGUAAAACAAACAAAUAAAUCAAAACUUUCAACAACGGAUCUCUUGGUUCUGGCAUCGAUGAAGAACACAGCAAAAUGCGAUAAGUAAUGUGAAUUGCAGAAUUCAGUGAAUCAUCGAAUCUUUGAACGCACAUUGCGCCCGCUGGUAUUCCGGCGGGCAUGCCUGUUCGAGCGUCAUUUCAACCCUCAAGCCCCCGGGUUUGGUGUUGGGGAUCGGCUCUGCCCUUCUGGGCGGUGCUGCCCCCGAAAUACAUUGGCGGUCUCGCUGCAGCCUCCAUUGCGUAGUAGCUAACACCUCGCAACUGGAACGCGGCGCGGCCAUGCCGUAAAACCCCAACUUCUGAAUGUUGACCUCGGAUCAGGUAGGAAUACCCGCUGAACUUAAGCAUAUCAAUAAGCGGAGGA
This 601-nucleotide unclassified non-coding RNA is filed under the name uncultured fungus. RNAcentral describes it as "sequence contains ITS1, 5.8S rRNA gene and ITS2". The stretch from base 220 to 373 matches the Rfam family "5.8S ribosomal RNA". Lineage: Eukaryota; Fungi. The record is from RNAcentral.